Molecule: ribosomal RNA, 301 nt
Filed under: uncultured bacterium
Lineage: Bacteria
Description: partial 16S ribosomal RNA
Rfam family: Bacterial small subunit ribosomal RNA
Source: RNAcentral
CAGCAGCCGCGGGAAUACGGAGGGUGCAAGCGUUAAUCGGAAUUACUGGGCGUAAAGCGUGCGUAGGCGGUUCGUUAAGUCUGUUGUGAAAGCCCCGGGCUCAACCUGGGAAUGGCAAUGGAUACUGGCGAGCUAGAGUGUGUCAGAGGAUGGUGGAAUUCCCGGUGUAGCGGUGAAAUUCGUAGAUAUUGGGAAGAACACCAGUGGCGAAGGCGGCUCACUGGACCGACACUGACGCUGAGGCGCGAAAGCGUGGGGAGCAAACAGGAUUAGAUACCCCAGUAGUCCCUGUCUCUUAUAC